Molecule: non-coding RNA, 1350 nt
Organism: Cyanistes caeruleus (blue tit)
Lineage: Eukaryota; Metazoa; Chordata; Aves; Passeriformes; Paridae
Source: RefSeq, a predicted model, not a curated record
CUACCCCGGGGCCGCCGGCAGGAGCCACGGCUGGGACGUGCCGACAGACCGGCACUGCUUGCACGUCUUCAGUAGAUGGAGACGGUGCCCGUGACUAGGCUGCAGGGCUCCAGUGUCAAAGGGCUUUGAAAAGUGUAAAUUACUAUAUUUUUACUACAUAGCUUUGUGUUUUGUGAAAAAUGAGGUACACAUUUUUUUUUUAAGUAGAAUUUAAAAGUCUAAUAGAAAGACAAGUAGGAGGUAAAGUAAAAUAUACAGAUGUGGCCAGGUGUCUCUGCGUUCAGCUAAGAGAGCACACUUUGUUAACAAAGGAUUGUCCCUUAAAAGCAGAACCCUACUAUAUAGUCAUAAAUUCUCAUACAGAAUUCAGACAUUCUUCCUAACUUUGAGGUGUUCUUUUGUUUAGUUUUUAACUUCCCCUCUUCUCAAGAGAUCAAUCUCUUGGUGCCACUGGGUUUUACCCUCUCCUAUAACGGGUGCAAUAAAUUCCUCUCUUGGAGGGUUUGGAGGACUGCUGUCUUCAUCUGGACAAGUUAUUUGAUACAGUGAAUUACGGCAGAAUUAGCCCACGGCAGAAUUACAAGACUACAGAGGCUGGCUAUGGAUGACAAUCGUGCGUCUGGCCUGCUGCACAGCACAUCCACACAGGAGCUAAGGGAUCAUCCUUGCACAGCCCAUCCUGGAAGAAGAGAGUUCACUGAUGAAUCCGACACCGUUUUAUGGCAUGGCAGCAGAAUAAAGGCUAGAAUUGGUCCUGUUCCAAGCCCUUUACAUUUUGCUGUGUGUAAUGGAGACAGGAACUACGAGUUUCCUAUUCAUGCACAAUUUGCUGUCUGAGAGCACACAUGUUGCCACCUGUUAGUUUAUCUUCAUUAAGUAUGUUUGUUCACCUUCGUUGAGUUUAGAGUUGGUUUGUCCCAGUUACUCCCCCACUAUCCCGAUAUAGUUUGUUCCCAGUUGCCUGUCAUUGUAAACCUCUCCCCUCUUUCCAGAUUGUUCCCCAUCCAUCACUUUGGUCCUACCCCCAAGCCCUAUCAAUCUAUGUACACCACACCUUUUGUUCUGGUUCCUUCCCUGCUCAUCAUCCCUUACUCGAUGCCCUAUUGGUUGUAUAGCUAUCCUCCCUCCCCCAAGUCCCUACCAUUGGAUUUGUGUAUUGUAACCCCUUCCCACAACACCUCCCCUGCUGCAAUAUUAUUGGUUGUUGUAUGAGCCGCCCACAGGCUUUAAAACCUGGAGCACAGAGGUGCCCAGGGUCUCGGCUCGGACUUUCUUCUCGAGGUCCCAGCCCUGUCCCUCAUCGCCUUCUCCCUGCACCUGCUGGAAUAAACUUGUUCCUGGGAAAUUGGA